This 204-nucleotide small nuclear RNA is filed under the name Suricata suricatta (meerkat). Its description in RNAcentral is "U2 spliceosomal RNA (ENSSSUG00005017416.1)". It matches the Rfam family "U2 spliceosomal RNA". Rfam says of the family: U2 is a small nuclear RNA (snRNA) component of the spliceosome (involved in pre-mRNA splicing). The record is from Rfam by way of RNAcentral. Lineage: Eukaryota; Metazoa; Chordata; Mammalia; Carnivora; Herpestidae.
AUCACUUCUCGGCCUUUUGGCUAAGAUCAAGUGUAGUAUCUGUUCUUAUCAGUUUAAAAGUGCAUCAGACUUAUACAGGAGUGCUACUAUUUUAUUUUGCCAAAUAACACUAUUUUUUAGAGGCGCCGGGGUGACUCAGUCGGUUAAGCAUCUGACUUUGGCUCAGGUCAUGAUGUCACAGUUCAUGAGUUUGAGCCCAGCAUU